UUGACCUCGAAUCAGGUAGGAAUACCCGCUGAACUUAAGCAUAUCAAUAAGCGGAGGAAAAGAAACCAACCGGGAUUACCUCAGUAACGGCGAGUGAAGCGGUAACAGCUCAAAUUUGAAAUCUGGCUCCUUCGGAGUCCGAGUUGUAAUUUGUAGAAGAUGCUUUGGGUUGUGGGCUCGGCCUAAGUUCCUUGGAACAGGACGUCAUAGAGGGUGAGAAUCCCGUAUGUGGCCAUGGCCCGCGCCUAUGUAAAGCUCUUUCGACGAGUCGAGUUGUUUGGGAAUGCAGCUCAAAAUGGGUGGUAAAUUUCAUCUAAAGCUAAAUAUGGGCCAGAGACCGAUAGCGCACAAGUAGAGUGAUCGAAAGAUGAAAAGCACUUUGGAAAGAGAGUUAAACAGUACGUGAAAUUGUUGAAAGGGAAGCGCUUGCAACCAGACUUGGGCGCUGCCGAUCACCCCGAGUUCUCUCGGGUGCACUCGACAGCGCACAGGCCAGCAUCGGUUCGGGUGGCUGGAUAAAGGCCGUAGGAAUGUAGCUCUCUUCGGGGAGUGUUAUAGCCCACGGUGCCAUGCAGCCCAGCCGGACCGAGGACCGCGCCUUCGGGCUAGGAUGCUGGCGUAAUGGUUGUAAGCGACCCGUCUUGAAACACGGACCAAGGAGUCUAACAUCUAUGCGAGUGUUUGGGCGUUAAACCCAUACGCGGAAUGAAAGUGAACGUAGGUGAGAACCCCUUUGGGGCGCAUCAUCGACC
RNAcentral lists this ribosomal RNA (752 nucleotides) under Erysiphe neolycopersici. RNAcentral's name for it is "partial 28S ribosomal RNA". It matches the Rfam family "Eukaryotic large subunit ribosomal RNA", at positions 1 to 766 of the family's 3401-position model. The record is from RNAcentral. Lineage: Eukaryota; Fungi; Ascomycota; Leotiomycetes; Helotiales; Erysiphaceae.